AACGAACGCUGGCGGCAGGCCUAACACAUGCAAGUCGAACGCCCUAGCAAUAGGGAGUGGCGCACGGGUGAGUAACGCGUGGGAACGUGCCUUUCAGUCUGGAAUAACUGCGGGAAACUGCAGCUAUUACCGGAUAUUCUCUACGGAGGAAAGAUUUAUCGCUGAAAGAUCGGCCCGCGUUAGAUUAGGUAGUUGGUGGGGUAAUGGCCUACCAAGCCUACGAUCUAUAGCUGGUCUGAGAGGAUGAUCAGCCACACUGGAACUGAGACACGGUCCAGACUCCUACGGGAGGCAGCAGUGGGGAAUACUGAAAAGGGGCGCAAGCCUGAUCCAGCCAUGCCGCGUGAGUGACGAAGGCCUUAGGGUUGUAAAGCUCUUUUGUCAGGGAAGAUAAUGACGGUACCUGAAGAAUAAGACACGGCUAACUUCGUGCCAGCCGCCGCCGUAA
Molecule: ribosomal RNA, 448 nt
Filed under: uncultured bacterium
Lineage: Bacteria
Description: partial 16S ribosomal RNA
Rfam family: Bacterial small subunit ribosomal RNA
Source: RNAcentral